UACGGGAGGCAGCAGUGGGGAAUAUUGCACAAUGGGGGAAACCCUGAUGCAGCGACGCCGCGUGAGCGAAGAAGUAUUUCGGUAUGUAAAGCUCUAUCAGCAGGGAAGAACAUGACGGUACCUGACUAAGAAGCCCCGGCUAACUACGUGCCAGCAGCCGCGGUAAUACGUAGGGGGCAAGCGUUAUCCGGAUUUACUGGGUGUAAAGGGAGCGUAGACGGCUCUGCAAGUCUGGAGUGAAAACCCGGGGCUCAACCCUGGGACUGCUUUGGAAACUGUGGAGCUUGAGUACCGGAGGGGUAAGCGGAAUUCCUAGUGUAGCGGUGAAAUGCGUAGAUAUUAGGAGGAACACCAGUGGCGAAGGCGGCUUACUGGACGGUAACUGACGUUGAGGCUCGAAAGCGUGGG
Molecule: ribosomal RNA, 408 nt
Filed under: uncultured bacterium
Lineage: Bacteria
Description: bacterial SSU rRNA
Rfam family: Bacterial small subunit ribosomal RNA
Source: RNAcentral